RNAcentral lists this ribosomal RNA (253 nucleotides) under uncultured bacterium. RNAcentral describes it as "partial 16S ribosomal RNA". It matches the Rfam family "Bacterial small subunit ribosomal RNA", at positions 524 to 776 of the family's 1533-position model. The record is from RNAcentral.
GACGGAGGAGGCAAGCGUUGUCCGGAAUUAUUGGGCGUAAAGCGUCCGCAGGCGGCGAUUCAAGUCUGCUGUCAAAGGUCGGGGCUUAACCCCGGGAAGGCAGUUGAAACUGAAUAGCUAGAGUGCGGUAGGGGCAGAGGGAAUUCCCGGUGUAGCGGUGAAAUGCGUAGAGAUCGGGAAGAACACCAGUGGCGAAAGCGCUCUGCUGGGCCUGUACUGACACUGAGGGACGAAAGCUAGGGGAGCAAAAGGG